Long non-coding RNA from Gallus gallus (chicken), 2835 nucleotides. NCBI's taxonomy places the organism in Eukaryota, Metazoa, Chordata, Aves, Galliformes, Phasianidae. The record is from Ensembl.
CAGAGACUUCUGGAUGCAAACAACAGAGGCAGCUUUGUUGCAGGAGAGGGUGCAUGUGUGGCUGCUGGAAGGAGCCCAGUGCUCGGAGAAAGCUCUGGAGGCCUGUAGGUGGAGUCCAGCUGCGUCAACCACUCUGCGGGCAAGGAAUUGCUUCACAAGAGGACAAUGAGUAAAGCCUCUCUUUGAUCCACCUCCACACCUUAUUAACUGCCUGUGAAAGGAGGAGAUUAUUCUGCCUUAGAAAGAAAGAGAGAAAGAAAGAAAGAGAGAAAGAAAGGAAGAGAGAGAGAAAGAGAGAGAGAAAGAGAGAAAGGAAGAGAGAAAGGAAGAGAGAAAGAGAGAAAGAGAGAAAGAAAGAGAGAAAGAGAGAAAGAGAGAAAGAGAGAGAGAAAGAGAGAAAGAGAGAAAGAGAGAAAGAGAGAGAGAGAGAGAGAGAGAGAGAGAGAGAAAGAAAGAAAGAAAGAAAGAAAGAAAGAAAGAAAGAAAGAAAGAAAGAAAGAAAGAAAGAAAGAAAAACAUAGAGGGAAUAAAACAAUCAGCAGAGGCAAAUGAGGUGAGCAGUUAGUCUGGAACCCUUCAGACCAGCUUGACUUUCACUUCUGGUCAUACCAGCCUGAUGUCGAUGCAAGGAUCUCCAGCACCCACAAGGAUGCUCCAGGAUGCUGAAGAAGGUUUUCGCACCACCUCCCUGUCCAAGGAAGAAGCCGCUGCACUCCACGUUACUCUUCCAAAGACCUCAGUGCACCCACAGUGGUCCUGGAGAACACUGCAGUGACCAACAACUGCUCUGAUAAGAUUUCAACGGUGAAUUUGACUGGCCCGGUGUGUCUGAGUUACGUUUCCAGCAGGCCCACUGGAGGUACAGAAGAGACAGUUUCCAUUUCUGAGCUCCCAUUCUUCUCUGCUGUCUCGAUCACACCCCCAAAUUCACCACUGGAGCAGUGAUGGCUCCCCUUGUCAGCUGCUUUCUUCUGGAGACAAACGUGCACAACAGGCUCUGGGGUGCACGUUGGCAAAGCAGUGGGCUGGUGUGUCCUAUAUUUCUUCCACCAUGACUUCAGGUUGCCAACCUGUAUUACACCAGUAUUAGAAAAAAGAGGAAACUGGGGAUUUAUUUUAUUUUAUUUUUUAUUUUUGUGUGUAAGUGGAGAAAAAGUGUAGAUUCACUCGCCUAAUCUUUGCGGGUUGAUGUAUUAAAAAUGUACUACAGAUUUACUUUUCUCCAUAUUCUCUCUUUCUGUUGUAUGAGUCAUGAGCAAAAAAACAUGGGGGAAUUUCAGGUGAUUUUUAUUCGGGUAAUUAGGGUGAUUCCCAAAUCCCUCUGAUUCACGCACAAAUUGCACUCAUUACAGCUUUCUAUCCAUGGUUUCCAACAAGCUAUAUGACUGUGUCUGUGCUAAUACUACUGGACACACUGCAGUCUGCAAGUCACCACGUCUGUGACGUGUUUUUUAAUCUGCCCACCUUUACAGUCUGAAGGAAGAUACUAUCUAUUAAUCUUUAAGCUAAGAGCUGCAGCACUGCUGACCUCUGCCUCUGGGGUGACAUCAGCUUGCUGAGGAAUGAGCUUGUUCUCCCCGAUCAGGUGCAAGGGACAGACCAGCCUGAGAUCUGGCAUGGAGAGGAGGUUGAUCAAUUCACUGGCUCCUGCCGGCAGGGUAUAUAAUUUUCCAUUUAUCUUAUCAACUUUUUUUGGCCUACCUCCAGCAUUGUUUUCCAGAGGAAGCAGGAGGAAAGUCCUCUGACCAAUGAGUGCUCCUCCAAAAGGGAUUUGGCAUCAUUUGUUCCUUCUUCAAUCAUCAAAGUGACAAUUUGAGCAACUUUUAACUGAGGUGGAAACCAAACCUGGUUCAGAGAAUCAUGAAAUCACAGAAGCAUGAAAGUUGGAAGACCUCCAAGAUCCCCAAGCCCAACCCCACCCCAUCCCACCACAUCCCCAAGUGCCACAUCUCCAUGGUUCUUGAACACCUCCAGGGAUGGGGACUGCACCACCUCCCUGGGCUGCCUGUGCCACUGCAUCACUGCUCUUUCAGAGAAUAAAUUUUUAUAUCUCUUAGGGUUAUGGCAAAAUUCCCUUUCUUACCUCCAAUGUGGAAUUCCAGCACAUGGGUACCAGGAUUGUGAUGCUGGUGAGAACAAUACAGGAUAAUGUGUAUGUAUGUAUGCACCAGACAACAAGUAGGAAUUAGAGAUUGUUAUGUUUAGGGAGCCAAGCACAAUAAACUUAGGAAAUAGCAGCAAUAAAUGGAUGUGUGGGUUCUGAAUUUUGUAUUUGUUUUACUUUUGUUCUUUGCUCACCAGGAAUAAAGCAACAUAAUCCUGACAGCAUGCAUGCUAUAAGCUCUGGUCUCAGUGGAGGAGAUGAGGAUGGUUUAGCCCCAGGAAAUGUGCUCUGUUUGAUGAUAUUGAACAAUAAACCAAUGCAAAAUGUAAAAGAAUGAAAAAUAGCAAGGUCUUCUCAGUACUUCCCCAGCCUCAGCUGUAAUCCUUUGGCACCUGUAGGGUGGUUUUGAACUCUUCUUUAUGGUGAUGGACUGCACUCUGCAGAUGACAUCGGAGGAAUUUACUGCAAUGAAACAUAACACCUUAAUGAGGAAAAGAACCGCUUUCCUCCUAAUGCAGCAGCUUUGUCUGGUUUUUCCCUCCACCACGCAGUGUGAUGGUUCAGAUCUAAGACUCGUGUGGUUGUUGAAUUGCCAUGAUGGAUUUUAGAAAGGGGAAAAUCAUGUCAAGUUUAUGUAAGCAGCUGCUCUUUGGAAAUACAUCUUAAUUACGGGUAAAAAUACUAAGCCAUAACUUAUAUACUUCUUUUAAAGAACACUUUUUUGUUUUGUU